Long non-coding RNA from Alexandromys fortis (reed vole), 415 nucleotides. RefSeq lists it as uncharacterized. The transcript has 2 exons. NCBI's taxonomy places the organism in Eukaryota, Metazoa, Chordata, Mammalia, Rodentia, Cricetidae. The record is from RefSeq and is a predicted model, not a curated record.
ACGUCUACUCACUGAGGUUUACAUGGUUUUUUUUUUCCUCUUGGUUGUUCUGGGGAUAACACAGGGGAUAACACAUUUCGUCACAGCAGAAGCAGACCAUCAACACACAUCACUGUGACAUCAGCUUAGCAUCGAACUGAGAAAAUGCCUGUCCAUCAUCUCUACAAUGAGUCUUCCUGCCGCCAUGAAUUCCCCAGAUUCACCAUGUGUCUUUCCUGCUCCAUGCCCCCAGCCAGCCACUUAUCCCAAGAACCCCGCUUCCUUGUAUGGAAGAACACUAUCAGGAAUCAAGAUCUGGGUCCUGCAAAUGUUUGUUUUCUAUGUGGACACUCUUACUUUCAGGCCCUCUCAGCUAACAGGGCGAGGAAAUAUGUAUGUGUAUAAAAAUUGGCGUAUAUAAACAUAUCUCUAUUUA